GUUGAACGCUGGCGGCGUGCCUAAUACAUGCAAGUCGAGCGAACAGAUGAGGAGCUUGCUCCUCUGACGUUAGCGGCGGACGGGUGAGUAACACGUGGAUAACCUACCUAUAAGACUGGGAUAACUUCGGGAAACCGGAGCUAAUACCGGAUAAUAUAUUGAACCGCAUGGUUCAAUAGUGAGAGACGGUUUUGCUGUCACUUAUAGAUGGAUCCGCGCCGCAUUAGCUAGUUGGUAAGGUAACGGCUUACCAAGGCAACGAUGCGUAGCCGACCUGAGAGAGUGUGCGGCCACACUGUAACUGAGACACGGUCUAGACUCCUACGGGAGACAGAAGUAGAGAAGAUUCCGCAAUGGGCGAAAGCCUGACGGAGCAACACCGCGUGAGUGAUGAAGGUCUUCGGAUCGUAAAACUCUGUUUUUAGGGAAGAAAAAAUGUGUAAAUAAAACUGCACGUCUUGACGGUACCUAAACAGAAAGCCACGGCUAACUACGUG
This 497-nucleotide ribosomal RNA is filed under the name uncultured bacterium. RNAcentral's name for it is "partial 16S ribosomal RNA". It matches the Rfam family "Bacterial small subunit ribosomal RNA", at positions 28 to 507 of the family's 1533-position model. The record is from RNAcentral.